AACCAUACGCUUACAAGCGGUCGGAGCACGUUUACGUGUGACGGCGUGCCUUUUGCAUAAUGAGCCUACGAGUUACCGUUGCUAGCAAGGUUAAGUACUUAAGGUACGGAUCCGUAGCGAAAGCGAGUCUGAAUAGGGCGCUUAAGUUAGUAGUGGUAGACGCGAAACCGUGUGAUCUACCCAUGGGCAGGUUGAAGCUGUAGUAACAUACAGUGGAGGACCGAACCGGUUGACGUUGAAAAGUCUUCGGAUGACCUGUGGGUAGGGGUGAAAGGCCAAUCAAACUCGGAAAUAGCUCGUACUCCCCGAAAUGCAUUUAGGUGCAGCGUUGAUAUAGUUUUAUAGAGGUAGAGCUACUGAUUGGAUGCGGGGGCUUCACCGCCUACCAAUUCCUGACAAACUCCGAAUGCUAUAAAAUGAUUAUCAGCAGUGAGGGCAUGGGUGCUAAGGUCCAUGUCCGAGAGGGAAAGAACCCAGACCAUCAGCUAAGGUCCCAAAAUGUAUGCUAAGUUGAAUAAACGAGGUUGAACUGCUUAGACAGCUAGGAUGUUGGCUUGGAAGCAGCCAUUCAUUUAAAGAGUGCGUAACAGCUCACUAGUCGAGCGGUUCGGCAUGGAUAAUAAUCGGGCAUAAGUAUACUACCGAAGCUAUGGAAUAUUUUAUAUUGGUAGGGGAGCAUUGUAGUGUCGUCGAAGGUGUACUGCGAGGUAUGCUGGAGAAGCUACAAAAGAAAAUGUAGGCAUAAGUAACGAUAAUGCGGGCGAGAAACCCGCACUCCGAAAGACUAAGGUUUCCUCAGCUAUGCUAAUCAGCUGAGGGUUAGUCGGGACCUAACGCGAACCCGAAAGGGGUAGUGGAUGGACAACAGGUUAAUAUUCCUGUACCUGCUCACGCUAAAAGUGACGGAGGCGUAUAUUUGGUGCGUGCUGACGGAAUAGCACGUUGAAGCCAGUGGUAACACGGCGAUAGUACACUAAGACUUCGGUUGCGGUGAUAAUCCAGAGAAGCGACUUCCAAGAAAAACAAGUGAAGCAGCCCGUACCCUAAACCGACACAGGUAGUUGGGAUGAGAAUUCUAAGGAGCUCGAGAGAUUCAUGGCUAAGGAACUAGGCAAAAUAGACUCGUAACUUCGGGAGAAGAGUCGCCCCCUUUUGGGGGGCCGCAGUGAAAAGAUCCAGGCGACUGUUUAUCAAAAACACAGGGCUAUGCUAAAUUGAAAGAUGACGUAUAUGGCCUGACACCUGCCCGGUGCUGGAAGGUUAAGUGGAGGGUUUAGCUUCGGCGAAGAUCUGAAAUGAAGCCCCAGUAAACGGCGGCCGUAACUAUAACGGUCCUAAGGUAGCGAAAUUCCUUGUCGGGUAAGUUCCGACCUGCACGAAUGGUGCAACGAUCUGGAUACUGUCUCAGCCAUGAGCUCGGUGAAAUUGUAGUAACGGUGAAGAUGCCGUUUACCCGCUGUGGGACGAAAAGACCCCGUGCACCUUUACUAUAGCUUAGUAUUGGUUUUGGAUAA
RNAcentral lists this ribosomal RNA (1514 nucleotides) under Seonamhaeicola maritimus. Its description in RNAcentral is "Bacterial large subunit ribosomal RNA". It matches the Rfam family "Bacterial large subunit ribosomal RNA", at positions 554 to 2130 of the family's 2925-position model. The record is from Rfam by way of RNAcentral. Lineage: Bacteria; Pseudomonadati; Bacteroidota; Flavobacteriia; Flavobacteriales; Flavobacteriaceae.